UUUCCGUAGGUGAACCUGCGGAAGGAUCAUUAAAAAAUAUCGCUCGAUUGAGAGUGAUUUAAUAAUCAUCCUACCCUUUGUGAAUUUGUUGUUUGUAAUAAUUUUUUUGAUUUUAAAAAAAAAUUAUUUAUGGUUUUGUCAUCCCUAAAAUUGGUUUGUUGUGAAAUGAAUCAAAUUUAGGGAAUAGGCUUUCAUAAAUAAGUUUUUUUUAAAGUCUUAAAGACCUUUUUUAAAAUUAAACUUUUGUAUUCAUUUGUCUAAAUUUUUUUAAAUAAUUUAAAAACAACUUUUGACAAUGGAUCUCUUGGUUCUCGCAAGAUGAAGAACGCAGCAAAAUGCGAUAAGUAAUGUGAAUUGCAGAAUACGUGAAUCAUCAAAUCUUCGAACGCAUAUUGCACUUUUUUAGUUUACUAAAAAAGUAUGUCUGUUUGAGUAUCAGUAAAAUAUUCUCAUAAAACAUUUUGUUUUUAUGGUUAUGAGUGUUUUACAACGAUAAACAAGUUGUUUCACUUUAAAUUCAUUUUAAUUUAAGACCAUUUUGGUUUUAAUAAUAAAUUGGAUAAAAUUUUCCCGUAAAAAGGAAUAAACUUUUCAGUUUUAGUUAUAGAAACUCGGUCCGAUUUUAAAAGGAAAUUUAUUUAAAUAACUUGAUCUCAAAUCAGAUAAGAGUACCGCUGAACUUAAGCAUAUCAAUAAGCGGAGGAAAAGAAACUAACAAGGAUUCCUUAGUAACGGCGAGUGAAGCGGGAAGAGCUCAAAUUUGAAAUCUUCAAGGUUCUACCUUGACGAAUUGUAGUUUAAAGAAGUGUUUUCUGUUAGAUGAGUAGCAAAAGUUCCUUGGAAUGGGACAUCAUAGAGGGUGAGAAUCCGUAUUUGGUUAUUCAUGCUAGCUUUGUGAUACACUUUCAAAGAGUCGGAUUGUUUGGGAAUGCAGUCCAAAAUGGGUGUAAAUUUCAUCUAAAGCUAAAUAUUGGCGAGAGACCGAUAGCGAACAAGUACCGUGAGGGAAAGAUGAAAGAACUUUGAAAAGAGAGUUAAACAGUACGUGAAAUUGUCAAAGGGAAGCGUUUGACACCAGUGUUGUUUUUCCGAAAAUCAAUUACGAAUGGCUUGAUUUUGUGUUGUAUUGACCUUAUCAGCUUUCUUCACUUUUUUCGAGUCUUUCUUAAUGCACUUUUCGGUUAACAAGUCAACAUCAAUUUCUUUUGUUGUAAAAGAGUAUUCGGAAGGUGGCUUUCUUUUCGGAGAAAGUGUUUAUAGCCCUAUACUUCUACAAUCGGAGAGAUUGAGGCUGCAGCGUAGAUCCUUCGGGUUAGAUACAUUUGUGCUAAGUUGUAGCUUUUCAUAGACAACUUGUUGACUAUGUUUAGUCAUGCGCUUACUCGCUUAUGCUAUUU
RNAcentral lists this unclassified non-coding RNA (1397 nucleotides) under uncultured Neocallimastigales. RNAcentral's name for it is "partial contains small subunit ribosomal RNA, internal transcribed spacer 1, 5.8S ribosomal RNA, internal transcribed spacer 2, and large subunit ribosomal RNA". The stretch from base 649 to 1397 matches the Rfam family "Eukaryotic large subunit ribosomal RNA", at positions 1 to 610 of the family's 3401-position model. The record is from RNAcentral. Lineage: Eukaryota; Fungi; Neocallimastigomycota; Neocallimastigomycetes; Neocallimastigales.